UUAAUUGAAGAGUUUGAUCAUGGCUCAGAUUGAACGCUGGCGGCAGGCCUAACACAUGCAAGUCGAGCGGUAACAGAGAGUAGCUUUCUACUUUGCUGACGAGCGGCGGACGGGGGAGUAAUGCUUGGGAAGAUGCCUUG
This 140-nucleotide ribosomal RNA is filed under the name Pseudoalteromonas sp. S1610. RNAcentral describes it as "partial 16S ribosomal RNA". It matches the Rfam family "Bacterial small subunit ribosomal RNA", at positions 1 to 133 of the family's 1533-position model. Lineage: Bacteria; Pseudomonadati; Pseudomonadota; Gammaproteobacteria; Alteromonadales; Pseudoalteromonadaceae. The record is from RNAcentral.